GUAUAAGUUUAUAGGCACAAUGGCCCAUUAAUUACACUCUAAGACAUACAUUGAGUAUAUGAAGAAACAUAGACUUGGAAAUGUAAAGAGAGACGUAAAGUCAAUCCUCAAGAACCUGAGUGACAAGCACUCAGAAAGAUAUCCAAAGUCUACAAAAGGUGCACAGGUGGAGAUAUAAAGACGACAAGUGUGCACAUGCUCCCAAGAGAGCCAGCAGCAACUCAUCAGGUUUAUUUCAAUAAUGAUCCUUCCGCAGGUUCACCUACGGAAA
Molecule: unclassified non-coding RNA, 271 nt
Filed under: uncultured fungus
Lineage: Eukaryota; Fungi
Description: sequence contains ITS1
Source: RNAcentral